UCCUUAUACUAAAUUUACUCUUCUAAGUUCUAACCGGAGCUUUUACACAUUGAUGGUAUCCACGAAAUGCUUAUCAACUAUCAACUUAUCAUGAUUAUUACAUACUUCUAGCUAGCUAAGUAGAACCCAUACAUUUUGAAGAAGUAGACUUGUGUGGAGCUCAAUGAUGAGAGUGGCAUAAUCAGCCAAUGCCUGUGUGGAGCUCAUAUAUCC
This 213-nucleotide long non-coding RNA is filed under the name Glycine max (soybean). RNAcentral describes it as "long non-coding RNA (GMAX_LNC004161)". Lineage: Eukaryota; Viridiplantae; Streptophyta; Magnoliopsida; Fabales; Fabaceae. The record is from RNAcentral.